RNAcentral lists this ribosomal RNA (239 nucleotides) under uncultured bacterium. RNAcentral's name for it is "partial 16S ribosomal RNA". It matches the Rfam family "Bacterial small subunit ribosomal RNA", at positions 538 to 776 of the family's 1533-position model. The record is from RNAcentral.
GCGUUGUCCGGAAUUAUUGGGCGUAAAGAGCUUGUAGGCGGUCUGUCGCGUCUGCUGUGAAAAUCCGGGGCUCAACCCCGGACUUGCAGUGGGUACGGGCAGACUAGAGUGUGGUAGGGGAGACUGGAAUUCCUGGUGUAGCGGUGAAAUGCGCAGAUAUCAGGAGGAACACCGGUGGCGAAGGCGGGUCUCUGGGCCGAUACUGACGCUGAGGAGCGAAAGCGUGGGGAGCGAACAGG